UUUACGCAGGGGCGAGAGGAGUUUCCUUUGUUCUAGACAGAGGCUUGUAAGAGAUCAGAGAGAAUUAACCCUCAGACACACGGCACUUUGGAGGUUAUCGGUGGGCUGGCAGCAUUGGGAUGCAGGUAAUGACCAUUCCCAUGCCUCUGGGGGAAGCAUUCACCAGAAUAUAUCAAGAUGAAAAAUUAAUAUGGAUUUUUACAACUUCUAAAGAGCUAAAUGUCAGUGGAUUUAUAUCCUCUACUCAUGCAAUUGUAGACUCGUAAGCUGAUGGAGGAGUUUGGAGAUCGUAUUUUGAAGGGUUCAUCGUUUAAAUCUUGGGAGCAACAGUUAGUUCAUGUGAGGGCAAGCACAGGAUACGAUGUAACUUGAUCUCUGUGGAAUUUCCUUUUAAAAAUUGGAUUCAUUGUGAAAAUGGCGACAUUUGGACAAUUCUACUGAUCAGGAUUCAGAAUGAAUUUCAGCUUGCCCUUUCUAAAUUUGCUCCAGCAUGAAACCAACUCUAGAGAAGCAAUGAAGUACAGUGCAGAAUCUCACAAUUUAACUCACGUCAGAACAUUGGAAACUCCUCUGCUUAUUUUAACCAUCACUCUCCAGCCUCACCACAGUUGGAGUCUUUUGAACCAUCUCCUGACCAGCACAAGCAAUAAGCCUGUCAGCCUUUGCUUAGUGGUAAAGAUCUGACUUGAGUCAGAAAGUGGAUUCAGGUUCCACUUUAGAAAUCAACCUGACACUUCAGUGCAUGAACUGUGGGAGGAAUGCUGCCUUUCAGGCUCUGACUGCCCGCCCUGUAAGGGACCGGUCUUGACGGGCAUGUCUAGACAGUAAACAGCAGGAGCCUUUAGAUCAUCCGGAGGGUGAAGCACUUCACAGAGAAGAUUCAUCCUGUUUUCAAAACAUACUCACCUCCCAUCGACCAUCAACGGAGAGCAAUCAAGAAAAGGAAUCCUGGUUGUUUUGAUUGAGUCCUCGCUGUAUCCCCAGCAAGUCGAGGAGUUACUCAUGGUGCAAGCAAUCCAUGCACAAAUGUAGGGCAUGGAUCUAAACUAGCAUUAUGUACAAUGCAAGAAGCAGAACAACGUGAAGUCAAAUGGAAGUACAUUCCUGUAGAUGUUGAAAAUAUGAACAGCAAACCAUUGGAUUCCAGUCAAUAUAUUAUCAACGUCAACUUACUGAAGAACAGCCAAAGCAUCUUAAUUCAGCGUCUUGAAGGCUUUAGAUCCAGUAACAGCAAAUUCUGAAUUCUGAUGUUAUGUACAUUUAUGUUGAAUAAUGUGAUUUUAGCCUAUGUGAAAUGUAAUUGCUUGCUUAUAAGUUGGUACUCUGAAAAUACAUUUUGGAUGAUUAACAUGAUUGUUGGUCAUUUGUGAAAAUUCUUAAAAUGCAAACGUAGGAGAGAAAAAUGCCUGGCAUUUUAGCUUUAUCUCCUCCUUGACCCUUAUGCUACUCACCCAUCAUUUAUGGACAUUUUCCAACAUAUGCUUCAUGAGAUUUAUUGGUUUGUUUGAGCUGUGUGACACAGCUUGAUAACCCUCCGGAAUCAAUUCAAAGUUGCUUUCCUAUCAGUUGUGCUUGAAAACAGCCCUAGAGAUUGUGAACCAAAGUUUGCAUAUCCACCUUUACUAGGAGAGAAUAAAAGAGACUUGCGUUUUCAUUUAUUUACAUUUAUCCUACUGCCGUAAUGCAGAAACCCGGCAAUCAAAUGUGCAUGAAGCAAACUUCCACAAACAGCAAUGUGAUCUGACUGAGAAAUAAGUUUUUUCCGUGCCCUUCCCUUACAUUCUUCUCUGAAGUAGUGCCAUAGUAUUUUUUUAGAUCCUCCUGUGUUGGUAGGUAUAGCCUUGGAUUAACAUAUGGACCAAAAGACAGUAUUGCCUGUAGUCCAAUACUCCCUCAGUACUAAUACCAAAGCAAAAUACAAUGAAUGCUGGUAACUUGAUACAAAAACAUGCUGGAAGUACACAGACAGCAUCUGUGGAGAGAAAUAGUGUUGACACUUCAGAGCAUGGCUAUUUCCUUCAUACUGUCAACUUGAUUUUUAUGCUGGAGAACCUUGUAACUCAGAGGCAAGUGUGAUAACAACCAAGCCACAAUUGGUGCAUUGAAUGUUACCAGAAAUAAGAGACUUCAAUUAUGUAGAGACACUAGACAAGGUGGGGGGAUUGUUCUCCUAAGAGCAGUGUAUUUUCAGGGUGAUUUAAUAGAGGUGUUCACGUAGUGAGAUAUAUGUUUCUACUGAUAUGAGAUUUGCUAAUCAGAAGACAAAAUUUUAAAUUAAUUAGCAAAAGAAGUAAAGGAGAGAUUAGGAGUUUUUUUGUGUAACAAGUUGUAAUGCUCUGUAGUGCACUGUCUAGAAGAAUAAUGGAAGCAUAUUCAAUGGUAACUGUCAAAAGGGAUUUGGAUAUACACUUGGAGGGCCAAAAUUUGCAAGACUUUGGGAAGAGUAUCAGAAAGGAAUAACUUACACAGCUCUUUCAAAGAGCCAAAUGAAAGAUGUUUGAUGUAAGUUUCUGUUCAGUUCUCUUUCUCACCAUAUCCUGAGGGACCUCUGGUUGAUAUUUUCCUGCACUUUCUCCCUAUGAUGUAGGGUUCAUCUUACUUCAAAAGCCAUUGCACCACAGAUCAACUGAUUCAGCUAAGUCAAGGAUCAAACCUCGAGAUAUUGCUAUGUGGCUCACUGUCACAAUUUUGAAUAAGCGCAAGGCAGUUUUCUCUGGUGUCUAAAAAAAUGUACGUCCUUCAGCCAACAUCAAACACCACACUGCUAUGCCUUUAUCAUCCAAACUGAACUAAAAGAGGAUCCUGUAAGUGGUGUGAUAUUUGGUAACUGUGUAUAGGAAUCUGUGUAAACAGAUGAUCUGCUAAUUAUCACAUUGCUGUUUGUGAAAGUUAGCUGUCCUUUAAUUGGCUCCAACAUUUCAUAUAUUACAAUGUGACUACACUUCCAAAGUAUGCCAUUGAUUGUAAGGUGUUUUGUAAUAUCCUGAAUGGGGUUUCUCCUAUAGAUCUGACAAUAUUCCAAUUGCCGAGUGCUUUAUGAUCUCUCAGUUUAUUUGGUGAUAUGCUUUUAUGUACAGACCAGUGUCAUUGGACUAAUAAUCUUGAGAAUUUGAGUUAAG
This is a long non-coding RNA of Rhincodon typus (whale shark), 3119 nucleotides long. RefSeq lists it as uncharacterized. The transcript has 7 exons. The record is from RefSeq and is a predicted model, not a curated record. NCBI's taxonomy places the organism in Eukaryota, Metazoa, Chordata, Chondrichthyes, Orectolobiformes, Rhincodontidae.